UUAAUGUUCAUAACCUGAUUACCUUGACCUUCAUACAAAAAACUUCCGAGAUUCCAUUCUUAAACCGUGCAGAAGAUAGAAUGUUACAUGAAUGUGCGCACAGAAAUUCAAUAUAUGCCGAAGCAAAACAAAACCUAGACUAUAUAGUUGCGAGUGGAACGAUUCAUAAAAGGACAAUAAUUAUAUAUUCAGUUAUUUAAUAUUUCAUAAAUAAAAGAAACAUCAAUCUAUUUUCCUCCAAAAAACAAGAUUGCGAUGUCAUAAUAUGGACUCAUAAUCAUAAUUUGGUUGAACUAUAGCGAACAUAGAAUAUUUUUCAAGUCUCAACGUUGUCUCCUUAUAAAUUCUAACAUACGCAACGUUUUUUUAUGUAUGUAUUUGUUACGG
Sipha flava (yellow sugarcane aphid) is the source of this 387-nucleotide long non-coding RNA. RefSeq lists it as uncharacterized. The transcript is spliced from 3 exons. Lineage: Eukaryota; Metazoa; Arthropoda; Insecta; Hemiptera; Aphididae. The record is from RefSeq and is a predicted model, not a curated record.